RNAcentral lists this long non-coding RNA (498 nucleotides) under Physcomitrium patens. Its description in RNAcentral is "long non-coding RNA (PPAT_LNC001283)". Lineage: Eukaryota; Viridiplantae; Streptophyta; Bryopsida; Funariales; Funariaceae. The record is from RNAcentral.
GGGAGAGAGAAUCCUCCCCUGGAAUUUUUAAGUAUUUGUCUGAUUGUUGCUAAUCUUGUGCUUUGUCUGCACAACUUUUCGUAGUUAAUGAACAUGGCAUAAAAGGAGCGGAAAAUCUUACACAGAGGUCAUCAAACUUUUUUUGUUUUGUUUUUUGUUUUAUUUUUCUAGCAUUACAUUUUGUUUUGAUUUUUUUAAUCUAAAGUGAUAAAAGGCAUGAUUUGGAAAGUAAAACAUAAGGCCUCUACUUUAUUUUAGAAUUAAACAGUUUGAAAAUUAAUCCCCAAUAAAAUAAAUUCCUUGAAAAUGGAAACAAUGUUAGACUAUUCUGAGCGCAAUGAUGUCAUUGAUUAUUGAAAGUAUAAACAUCAAGUCUAGGCAUUCGUUCUUAACAACUAUAAUUAGAAAUAAUUGAUAUAAGAGGUUCAUGUAUCAUACUUGUAGAGUCUAUUUAAGAAUCAGUUUAUCUUUUCUACUUAUUGUAUUUUCUAUAUACAU